GCAGCCGUCGCCAGCCUCGGCUCGACCCGGCUCGGAGGCCUGGCCGCUCUAGCCCCCGACUCGAAGGCUCCGGGGCACCAGCCCUCUCCGCUCCGGCGGGCGCCGCGGCCUAGGAGACUAGUUCCGGGAGGGCCGAGGGGACGAGCCUGGCCCGGCCCGCCUCCCGCCGUGUCGCGGCGCACGUAGGUCCCCCGACCUGACAGGUGCGCGGCCCGGGCCGGCUGGGCUCUCAGAGCCGAGAGGUGGGGCCCCGACCUGGCCGUGGGGCUGGGCCCGCUCCGUCGCCCCGACCCCGCGUGGUCCGCCAACUCCCUCCUGCGCGCGGAGAGGACGGGCAUUGUUCUCGGGGCCCCGGAGAGCGCGAGAGCGGCCUGAGGUCUGUGUGCCGGAGCUCGGGAAGGCGGACGCGACUCCGCUUGCGCGAAACGAGCGAACGACACAUUAUUAUCUUGGUGUGUGCGGGUUUUUUGAAAGCCGUGGUGGCGCUCCCAGCUCGCCAGUGCGUGCGGGGCAGUUUCUGGGAAGAUACCCUAGAGCUACUCUGGCGGGGCCGGAGUCUGGAGGGAGGAGAUCCCCUCUCCUUGAGCCCCCUCCUGUGGAGCGGCUUCCUGCCGGCCUGCGUGGCCUCUCAGUUAAGACUCCCCCGCUAGACAAAAGCCCCGCCGGCUGCGUCUCUGGGCCACUGGACAGCCCCCUUUUGCAGAGGCCUCGAGCGUGGGGUCACCAAAAUCCCUGACACCUACUGUCCCGCGCCGGGUCGGACAGGAUUACGAGGCCCCACUUUCCAGAUGAGAAAACUGAGGUGGGGAUCUUUUGAGACCUCACUGUGAGCGUGCGCGUCCCGCCCGGUCUGGGAGUGGCGUCCCCGGCCUCGCGAGCGUCGCGCAGUGAAGCGACAGGGCGUGGCGCCUAAUUGUCCCCACGCCACGCGAGGGCUAGAAACCCGCAGUCGGGGCGGACCAUCCCUCCAGGCACCGCCCCCUCCUUGGGACCGCUCCGCGGGGGCGCCAAGGGUUUCCCCAGCACCGCCCCGGCGGCCGCCAGCCAGCCGCGGCCCCGCCCAUGCCCCUCCCCGCGGGUCUGGGCCCGCCCCUGAAGCGGGGAGGUGUCGCAGGGGAGCCCCCCGCUUCCGAGCUGCGGCUGCGCAUCAAGUCCUUCGCCAGCGGCUCUCCCUGAAACGGGGGGUUUCAAGGCGUGAUUUGUAGGGGUGUUUAGUAUCCCCUAAAUCUCUGCCAGCUCCACCAUGGCUAUCCGAAGUAAACAACAGAAGCUAAUUCAAAACUGGGUCCCCUUCCAAAAAAUUACAAAAAUUAGCCGGACUGGGUGGCGCAUGCCUGUAGUUCCAGCUCCUUGCAGGGGACUGAGGCAGGAGGAUCGCUUGAUCCCAGGAGGUUGAGAUUGCAGUGAGCUAUGAUCACACCACUGCACUCCAGCCUGGUCGACAGAAGGAGACCCUGUCUCAAAAAAUAAACAAAAAAUCGGCCAAGCGCGGUGGUUCACCCCUCUAAUCCCAGUACUUUGGGAGGCUGAGGUGGAUGAUCACCUGAGGUCAGGAAUUCGAGACCAGUCUGGCCAACAUGGCGAAACCCCGUCUCUACUAAAAAUACAAAAAUUAGCUAGACGUGGUGGCACGCGCCUGUAGUCCCAGAUGCUCGGGAGGCUGAGGUGGGAGAAUCACUUAAACCCGGGAGGCAGAGAUUGCAGUGAGCCGAGAUCGCGCCACUUCACUGCAGCCUGCGCAAGAGAGCAAAACUCCGUCUCAAAAAAGAAAGUUAGGAGCCGCUUCAGUGUACAGUGGGUGACCCAGAUUGGCUGCUGAGGUCCUGCCCCCUAAGGUCCUAUCUCAAAAGCUGAAGAUUUUGAAAAAUCCCAGGCCAUCUGAGAUGCCAUUCCUGCCUGGUACCCAUGGCCUCGACCACACUAGCCAGGUUCCAUCUCGGGGUUUCAUCAGCUCAGAUGAGGUGGAGUAGGAGGCCUCUCUGGUGUCUCCUCCUCCCACCACUUAGUGUUGCCUGAGUUUCCAUGGCUCCAGGAUACUAGCCCUGAGGGAUGGAUGUUCUCAGAGAAGCUUCUGUCCCCGGGAUGGAUGUUCUCAGAGAAGCUUCUGUCCCCAGCCCUGCCCUGAGCUAUAGGCUCUGAUGGGGUAAGUUAGUCACCUUCCCACAAAACUGCCCACCACUGAGAAUCCAGGAGUCCCUACCUCCCAGCCACGAAGCAACUCUCUUUUUCUGAGGUGGAACAGAAGCCAUCUCCCAGCUGUCUCCCUCUCCACACUUUGCAGCCUGGAGGCCAUCCUGCCUGAGAUUCUACCCUUAGAGCUUCAUUCUUUUGUGACUUUCACACCUUUCAGAAACUUGGAGAAAGAUCUGCCCCCAGGUGAGGUUUGGGUAACUCCUCCACUCCCAUCCCCACCUCAGAGGAGGCUUGCUCCACCUCCACUGCCCCUCAGGCCCAAGCUCCUGUCUGGGUCCUCAGCCUCUGUGGAGUUGAGGUCUGUAGCAUAUCUCAAGGGCACUGGGGAGGUGCCGCUGCCCUGCAUCCUCCCAAACCCCACAGCUCCUCUCACCCCUUUUGGUCUCCCUUUUGCCCCCCACCUCCACUUCCACCAAGCUUAGGGCUCAGUUCACUGCCCGCCAGGCCCAGCUGCUCUGAUGCCCUCCUUGUUCUAUUGUCCUUACUGUCUCCUCUGUCUGCCUCAUCUGACUUUGCCUUCUCUGGAGGCAGUUAAUUCACCUCUGAGCCUUGGCCCCAGGGUCACCUCCCUGGAAAGCCUUCCUGGGGCUGCCCUGGCCUGCCCCCCUGCUCAGGACAAUCUGGCCUGCAUGUGCACUCCAUUCUGUGGACCAUGAGCCCCUCCCGGACCAAGCUGGGCACAGCUCAGCUUCUCACUAAGGGCAGGGGGCUGCCAUGGAAAGCCUGUCACUUCUAACUGGCAAGACAGAGCACCCAGGUAGAGUGGCAUUGUGGGAGCUGUACCCAGUAUGGGAGGUGGGGGCAGCGGCCAGUCCUCAUGGUCUGUCUUAGAGAAGCCUUGUGUGGCAGUGACAUUUUGGAGGGGAGACAAUUUUGGAGGGGGCUGCAGGAGCCUGGGCCUGGAGUAAGGGGAGAGGAGAGUCAAGCUGUCCAGUGGGGAGAAGGCCUGGUGGGCGAUGGUGCCAUCCUGAGUGGAGAAGGCCUGGGAAUGUGAGGAGUGGGGAGGUCAGGGUGGGGGUGGUAGAGGUGCUAGGUGUAACCACUGCUUAGGUGAAGACAACUCCUGUGCCCUUUCAGAGCCAGGGCAGGGUGCCUCGUGCCCAGGGUUGGGAGUUGGGAGGCAGUGGACUUGGGCCCAGACCCUAGAGGUGAGGAGGGUGAUGGUGAGGGGUGUAGGGAUGGCAACACUGGCAGAAUAGCCCCUGUCUACCCUCUGACCUUCCUCACCAAGCUGGUGGGUGAGAGGUCCGUCAGGGCCUCCAUAUUACAGCUGAAGCUAUGGAAGCCAGAGAGGUACCUGAGCAGUGACUUGACUUAAGGGCUCUGACCCCCACAUCAUAGCUAAACUGUGGUGGCCCCCAAAUGCUCCCCUGCCAUUUCCAGACUUCCACACUGGAAGGGGGAACGUGGCUCUGGUGCAGACAGUGUUGGGUGGGGAUUGCAGCUCCUCACGGGACUCCCUGCCGGACUUGGGCACCAAUUUCCCCUCAGGAGUGCCUGCUGCGCCUCCCCAGACCAGCUGCUGUGAGGAUAAUGGGGUUUGUGUUCAGCAAGUGGCCACCCCUGGCAGCACCCACAGCUCAUGGAAACCACUGGGAACUGAGAACUGUUUAGUGGAGUUGAGGCUGGUGUUUAGUGAAGUUCCAAUCACCAGGAGACUUUCGGGCCAGAGGAUCAGGGUUGAAGGGUUUUAGUGCGUGCUCAGCCAAAGGGCCUCAAUUCUGAGUCUGAGAAGAGGCCUCAGAGCCUGGUGCUUUGGGAAGCCAAGACUACCCCAGCUCCAGGAUCUGUCCUGUUCUCAGGUCCCACUGAGGCAGAGCCCAUGGACUUGAUGCCCAGCCCUGCCCGCUGUCUCUGGAACUCCUAUUUCCUCGGGGCAUUGGACCGUGUCUGCCCACCAAGCCCCACUGAAGGGUGCAGGUGAGCAUAGGAAAGUUGGGCAUGGCAGCCCCCUGGGGCCUGGGCUGAAGUCUGGCUCCUCUUUCCCUGGCAUGUGCUCCAACAGGGCCCCCGAGCGGGACUGGAGGCGGGCAGAGAAGGACCUGUGGGAGCAGCUGGCAGAAAGCAGGCAGCAGAGGGCCGAGCUGGCAAGCCGUCUUCGGGCAGUGCCGGAGGCCCUGUCGGAGCAAGCCCUGGUGCUGCAGAGGCGGGAGCACAAGCUGGGACUUGGCUGGUCCCUAAAGCAGAAAGUGGAGUGCUCCCUGGCCUGCCUGGAGCAGGAGAGGCACCAGAUGCAGGGAUCCCAGGGACAGGCUGAGUGGAGGAGGCCAGACCAGAACAUAGAAGACAAGAUCCUGCUGCUGCAGACAGAAGUGGAAAAGGCCUAGCGGCAUUUGGACCAAAUGACCCAACAGCCUGUUGGCCCAGAGCCCAGCCUGGGGAUCCCCCAAGUGGGUGCAUGGCAGGCCCUGCGCACUGGCCCUGCUGUACCUUUGACUCUGCCCCACACUUUAUUCUCUGGUCCUCAUUAUUGAAGCAUUAUCUAGAGAAGGAAGGCAGCGCAGGGGCUUAGUCCAGCCAAGAGAGGGAUCCUCUUCCAACAUUUGGGAAUACCCUGGGAUCAUUCAGUGACUUCCCUCCUGGUUCAGAUGGGAAAACUGAGACCAGAGAGCAGAGGAGAGCUUGUUCAGAGUCAUAACUUGAGUUGGGGCCAGGACCCUGCCACAACAUGCCCUGAGGCAUCAACGGUCUGCCAAGACCACCCCAGUGUGGUCUGGAAGCUGGAAGGAGACCCCAGGAUUCUGGACCAAGUGUAUCUACAGGAGAUGCUGGUGCCAGGCCUGCAGAUCCAAGAGCAGAGCUGGGAUGGAGGCAGGGCCCAGGAGCUUCGGGACCCAGAGUCUCCAUGCCAGCAGCUGAGACCCCUGCCCAGGCUCAGGACACAGUCCGUCUGCAGGAGCAGUUGCUGAUACUCACUGAGGUGAACAAGAGACUCAGAAGAGCUGGGCCAGAGCCACCAGCAACUAGGGGCCUGCUUGGAGCAGCUGCAGCAUCUGCAGGGAGAGCAGAUGGUGUUGGGGGGCCAUUGCAGGCCCUGGAGGCAGAGCACACCUGGCUACUUCAGGAGAAGGUGGGGCUGCUAGCAGCACUGGGUGUGGCCCCGGGCCAAGAGUCCUGGUAGGUGGCUGCUUGGGCCCAUCCUCAGAGUGUCCAAGCCAGGCUGGGGUGGGGGCUCUGUUCUCACUGUAGGUGAGAUGGCCCUCUCAGCAGGCGGUGGGCCAGUCUCUGUCACCAGCUGGCUGAGGGGGAAUGGCCCAGAGCCCUAAACCCGGAAUCACACGACCAGAGCCAGUCUCCCUUCCCCAGGUAUCAGCGCUCCUGGUUGUCACAUUCUGGCUCUUUUAUGGGGUGGGAAAUCUUUCAGCUUCAAGAAGUCCUGUCUCGCCUACAUAUGGCCAAGCCCCUCCUGCUGGCCCAGGGGCAGGUGGGAGGUGGGGGUGAGAUGACCUUAGCUGCUGGGUGCAAGUCAGGGUCCUUGGGAGUAGAAGUGCCCAGUACAAAGGGGUUCUGUGUGUGCAGGGAGCCAUGAAAGAGGCAUCUCUGCCCCACUCCCCCUCCUAGUUCAUAAGACAAUAAUCACUGAAAGGGAGUGGGGUGGGGGUGAUCUGGGGUCCAUGCUGUACCUGGACUGCACCAUUUCUUCCAGUACACUCCAGGUCCUGGAGGUACCAGUGCCCCUCAGGAAAGAGCUAGAGGCACAAGAAUCACAUCCCAGGCUUCAUGAGGAGAUGGCUGAAUAUUGGAAGGCACGCUGGCACCGGCUGGCAGUUGCCCUGAAAUUUAAAGAGGAGGAACUGCAGAGACUCCAGAGGCAGAGUGGGACCUGGCCUCCCCAGCAUGCAUUUAUUGAGCAUCUGCUACAUGCCUGGCCCUCUUCUGUGUGCAGAAGCAAUGUCAAAUCAGAUCACUCCUUGUCCUCAACAGCUUAUGGUUUGGGGGCACCCGGUAAUUGAGACCCUUACACAGCUGCACAGGCCAGAGUGCACGCAGGAGGAGCUGCCGUGAGUCUGGGCGGGCACCAUCCAGUGAGCCCCCAGGCCCCUAGUCCACAUGCCAGCCAGGGAGGGCAGGCCAGGGCCCAGGAGGAGAUCCGCUCCCCUCUGCAGGCUGGACCUGCCCAAACCCAAGAGCCAGGGUGAAGGUUUCUGCAGGCAUGAGAGGAUGGGGGAGCAGGGCCCCUAGAUGGGGAUGCAGCUGGCCCCUCCCCAGUCAGCCACAGGAGCAGGAUGCAGGCUCUGGAGAGGGAGAAUGACCAGAUGGCUGCUGGGAUCCAGAGGCAAAAGGUGGGCAGGAGCUGGGCUGCCUGGGGUGGUGUGAGGUGGCCCCACCUACAGUCAGGGCCCCCAAAGAACCCCUCCUAAGUACCCUAGAGCCCUCCCCAAGCCUGAAGUCAGGGGCCUUGUGCAAUAAAGUGGAGGCCCGGGCUGUGCCACAGCCACAGCUCUUCUCAUGGGGCCUCAGCUUCCUGAUUGUUUAAUGGGUCCCAAGCUCCCCACCCUGGCCCUGAGUACCGGGGAGCUCAGGCCCAGGGGUGUGGGGCCUCCAGGGCUACUAUGGCCCAUCUGUCCGUGAACAGAAAGGGCCUUGCCCUCCAGCUUGAGCUGGGUGCCUGUGGACAGAAGCAGGACUUUGGCCACCACUGGCACCAGAACCCUCAGCACCAGCUGCUAGGGGUGAGGGUCGGGUGCCCCCAGGUCAAGGUGGCCUGAGCCUGCCCACCCAAGGACAGGGACAUAAGAAUCUGGACAAUCCUGCCAGCCUGAAGGGAGGGCAGCCACCCUGGAGCAGCCCAAGUGCUCCUGAGUCCUUGCCACCUCCCCUCUGCCCACAGGGCAGACCGCAGCAGAGACCCCAGGCCAGCCCCCGGAGUCUGCAAAUGAAAGGAGCUGUGGGAGCCCAGGUCUGCCAAGGAGCUGGAGUCUGCAGUGUGGACUCCACCAGAGGCCAAUGGGAGGUGGGUUCAGAGCUGGCUGAGAUGCAGACUGAGCUCGAGAAGGUCUGCAAUGUGCUGGAAGCUUGAGACUCAGAGCUGAGAGCUGAGCAGUGGGCCCUGGAGGCUGCCCAGGACCAGGUGCUCAGCAGCUGCCCCCCUGCACUGUGCUUCCGACUGGCCUGCAUGGCUCCCACAGGCUCCCCCAUGCCCGAUCCCUGCUGCCUGCCGCAUGGUGCCCAUGCAGGCCUUGACCUUUCCUUCCCCACACUCCGUCACUCAAGUUCCUCCCAAGCCCUUGCUGCCCACUGGGAGGGCUCAGCCUGGAACGUGUUCACUGCUUCCCCCCGCCCACCUCUAAGCUGGUGGAGAGCCUCCCUGAGAAACUGAGGCUGCAGCAGCAGCUGAAAAGGAGCUGGUAGAGAAGCAGUGACUGCGGGCUUGGCGAGCAUGAGCAAGUCCUGCCUUCACUAAGCCUCACUAUCCUCUGUAAAAUGGAAACACGGACAGUACCUAUGACACAGGAUUGAUGUGAGGAUGACAUGGGACACAGUGCACCGGGGACAGUGCUUAUGUUCUCCGUCCUUCUCAGUUUCUCCUGUAUCUGGGGUCCAGUUAGGCUGAGUCAGUACCAAAGUCAUAAAACCACGUAUAUGUGCCCAGGGGCGGCUGCAUACGGGCUUUAGUCCCAAAGCCUUUUUUUUUUUUUUUUUUGAGAUGGAGUUUUGCUCUUGUUGCCCAGGCUGGAGUGCAAUGGCGUGAUCUCGGCUCACCACAACCUCUGCCUCCUGGGUUCAAGCGACUCUCCUGCCUCAGCCUCCCAAGUAGCUGGGAUUACAGGCAUGCGCCACCAUACCUGGCUAAUUUUGUAUUUUUAAUAGAGAUGGGGUUUCUCCUUGUUGGCCAGGCUGGUCUUGAACUCCUGACCUCAGGUGGUCCACCCACCUGGGCCUCCCAAAGUGCUGGGAUUACAGGCGUGAGCCACUGCGCCACACACAAGGCCUAUUUUAUGCAAUGUUCAAUCCAUAAGGCUUUGUUUGCACUUCUUGUGAUAUUCAGGCAAUAGUUUGAUGUAAUGCAAUGCUGCCAGUGACAGACAAUACAGCACAUUCCCCAGGAUGGCAACAGCUACUGGCUUGUGCUUAAAUACCAUUUCAUUCUGACUGAGGUCAUCAUCUUUGAGCUCCUGCAAUGAGGAGCUCAAUAGGGUGGGGGAUGCUGUCCUUUGCCUCAGGUGCUCUUUGGGUGCUUUCAUAAAAGAGGGUCAGAGCCGCCGAUGGGGUCUAGGAGACCCUAAGAGUUCUGAUGGUCAGGCUGAGAAUUGUGUCCUCAGGGAGUGGGAGCUGCUGCAGGUCUGAGCACCAAGGGCUCCAGCACCAGGACAGGAGCCUCCAGCCACCUCCACCUUGCAGCCCCUGAAGGUAGCAUAUGUGGACCCUCUAGAUGGGGUGGGGAGUGACCUCUGCCCAGUUCCUUUCUGUCCCGUGGCCUUCCCAUCUGCAGGUUGUAGAGGGGAAACAGAAGGCUAGAAAGGCCCUUCCAGCUCAGGCUUUUACUGGUUCUAAAUGGAUUCCUGAGCUGGCCUCCCCAUCCCUGGACAGAGCGGAAGCUACCCCCUGCCCUGCCUCUCUGACCCCCAUGGUAUCAGCCUCUGUCUCAUCUGCCCCCAGAUCCCAGCCAUGGCCCUGGAGCCCAAAGAAGGGCAUCUGAGAAAAGUUGGAAGCCAGGGGCAGUGCCCAGGCAGUGUAGAGACUGUGCCCAGAGCCAGCAGGAGGCAGAUUCACAGCCUCACUCUGCAGCACAAGAGAUUGAGGUCAGGCCCUGCACCCCCGCCCAGUGAGCUGAAGGGUCCUGGCAUAGAAAAGCUGAAUUGAGAGGCCUCAGUGAGUUGGGCAUGGUGGCUCACACCUGCAAUCCCAGCACUUUAGGAGGCUGAGGCAGGUGGAUCACUUGAGGCCAGGAGUUCAAGAACAGCCUGGUUAACAUGGGGAAACUCUGUUUCCACUAAAAAAUUCAAAAUUAGCUGGGCGUGGUGGCACAUGCCUGUAAUCCCAACUACUCAGGAGGCUGAGGCAGGAGAAUCGCUUGAACCCAGGAGGUGGAGGUUGCAGUGAGUCGAGAUCGCACCACUGCACUUCAGCCUGGGUGAGAGUGAGACUCUGUCUCAAAAAAAAAAAAAAAAAAAAAAAAAAGGCCUUAGGCAACCGCGGCUGGGCAAGGACUUGGGAAGAGGGGAGGCCCGUUUGGCUGGCCUUCAGCCCCCAAGGCCAGGGUUUCUAUGAGGCCUGAAGCCUGGAGCCUGUCAUAGGCAACUGCAGUCUGAGGCCUCCCUGGCAGAAACCACUCCUUGUCCCCUCCCUGACACAGGCCUGAAAUGCCCAUGUUGGCACAAUGUUGCCAAUAUGGCUCUUGGUGGAUGAGACCACCUGGCACUUUCCCAGGGGACCCUGUGGCUAAGAGUAGAGCUAGGCAGGCACUGCCCAACACCAUAGGGGGUGCUGCGGGCCUGUAGGCUUGGUUGGCCCAAUUACUGCCCUAAUGCCAUCGGACAGUGCCCACCAGGGACUCUCUGUCUUGCCAAGGAAGGCCUUAGGCACUGGGCUUUAGACAUUUCAAAGUGAGUUCUCAUUCACUUGUGUCUCCGAUCACACUAGAGUCCCCAUUUCACAGACAAACUGCCCAGAGUUUGUCAUAGGUCACACAGCAAACCAGCAACUAAGCCCCCUGGUCCCCUAAUCUGCCCCAGAAAGGUAGUUUCUCAGCUGUUCUGAGCUUGACAGCAUGAACAUCCUCAGGAGCCACAGGCAAAGUGGGCUGAGGCUUGGCAUUCCCCUCGAGGUCAUCUGGCCAUUCUGAACGCCCCUCCUCAGCCUGCUUCCUCCGGCUGAGCCAUGUGCCCCCGGAACCCCUCUGAACUCUGUUGCCGAUCCCUCCCUCCAUCUGCGCCUUCAGUGAAGCAGUUUCUUAAAGGAGGGGUCCUUGGUACCGUGGAGGGACAGGACAUCUCUGGGAAUUCGUACCCAGCUGCGUUCGUGCUGAGUUCUUCAUGACCCACUCCUUCCAGCGUCAGCUGGUGGAUCCAGGGCUGGGUACUGAGCCGUACUGGACCAGUGGGCCCCCUCCCGGGAUCGCUGGACUUGGAGCAGAAGAGUCCCUCCAGGGCUGAAGAUUGGACACAGAAAACUUGGGAACUGUCAACUGCCCUGUUAUUCACCUCGUGAAAAAAGCUGGAUUUCUAAUGAGAGCGAAUGGAGGUGACAAUUCCCAGAAACUGGAAUUGGGAUGGUGAGAUUUUAGUUCAGCCGCCGGCGGUCUCAUGCGUGGAGGUGAUAAAGUUGAGCUUUGAGGUGGUCUUCAGAGGGAGAGGAAUACCCUCUGCGGGCAGAGCUUCCUGGGUUCCGGGCCCUUCCGGACGUCAACACAGGUCCAAAUGCCCUUGGGCUCCUCCGCACACCCUGGGUGCAAGAAUAAAUCCUUCUCUCUGCCGCCA
Homo sapiens (human) is the source of this 10613-nucleotide non-coding RNA. The record is from RefSeq and is a predicted model, not a curated record. NCBI's taxonomy places the organism in Eukaryota, Metazoa, Chordata, Mammalia, Primates, Hominidae.